Molecule: unclassified non-coding RNA, 296 nt
Filed under: uncultured Sordariomycetes
Lineage: Eukaryota; Fungi; Ascomycota; Sordariomycetes
Description: sequence contains ITS1
Rfam family: 5.8S ribosomal RNA (bases 1-105)
Source: RNAcentral
GAAAUGCGAUAAGUAAUGUGAAUUGCAGAAUUCAGUGAAUCAUCGAAUCUUUGAACGCACAUUGCGCCCGCUAGUAUUCUGGCGGGCAUGCCUGUUCGAGCGUCAUUUCAACCAUCAAGCCCCCGGGCUUGUGUUGGGGCACUGCGGCUGCCGCAGGCCCCCAAAAGCAGUGGCGGACUCGCUGUCACACCGAGCGCAGUAGCAUAUCUCGCUCAGGGCGUGGCGGCGGGCACCGGCCGUAAACACCUACACCAAAGGUUGACCUCGGAUCAGGUAGGAAUACCCGCUGAACUUAA